AACGAACGCUGGCGGCAUGCCUAACACAUGCAAGUCGAACGAGACCUUCCGGUCUAGUGGCGCAGGGGUGCGUAACGCGGGGGAACCUGCCAUUAGGUUCGGAAUAACUCCCCGAAAGGGGUGCUAAUACCGGAUAAUGUCUUCGGACCAAAGAUUUAUCGCCUUUGGGUGGGGCCUCGUUGGUUUAGCUGGUGGGGAGGGUAAAAGCAUACCAAGGCGACGAUGCAUAGCUGGUCUGAGAGGAUGAUCAGCCACACUGGGACUGAGACACGGCCCCGACCCCUACGGGAGGCAGGAGUGGGGAAUAUUGGACAAUGGGCGAGAGCCUGAUCCAGCAAUGCCGCGUGAGUGAUGAAGGCCUUAGGGUUGUAAAUCUCUUUUACCCGGGAUGAUAAUGACAGUACCGGGAGAAUAAGCACCGGCUAACUCCGUG
Molecule: ribosomal RNA, 433 nt
Filed under: uncultured bacterium
Lineage: Bacteria
Description: partial 16S ribosomal RNA
Rfam family: Bacterial small subunit ribosomal RNA
Source: RNAcentral